AGCAAACGAGGAUGUCACAGUCACCAACAGUUGCAGCCACCACGGAGGUGAGCCCUGAGGGAACUCAGGAAGGAAAGAACACCUGCAACUGAGCAGCCUUCAGACUACAGCCACCACCUGGAGAGUCCUGAGUUAGCCCAGGAUGUGAAGACAGGAUACUGGCCCCAGAUAGCUGAGAGAUUAAAAGUUGCACAAUAGAGACAAAUAUUUGUCUUAGUGGACAUUUAGAAGAACAUCACGGCCUGACCUACGUGGACAACUACUAGAACAAAGGAUUUCUACACCAAGAAGAUUGUACCAACUAGCCACGCCCCUUCCUCGCCUUGUUUGUAAAACUGCUUUUCUGAAACCUGGAGUUCCAACUUUUGGGGGGCAUGAGCCACCUGUCUCCUUGCGUGGCCCUGCACCAACCUUCCUCUGUUACAAUUUCGGUAUUUGGCCUCACUGUGUGUCAGGCGCCUAAACCUUCCCUCGGUAACAGUCAAGUGGUGCAGUAUGUGAGCUCCAGACGGCAAACAAGAGCCAGGUUUUUCCUCCAGAAGUAAGAGGAGGGAAUUCCCUGGUGGUCCAGUGACUAACACUCCACGCUCCCAAGGCAGGAGGCCCAGGUUCGAUCCCUGAUUGGGGAAUUAUAUUGUACAUGCUGCAACUAAGACCUGGUGCAGCCAAUUUAAAAAAAAGGAAGUGACCCUUUGUGAUUCACUAACAGUAGGGUUUCCGUGGAGGCUUUGCUUGGAUGGCCUGAUAAUGAGAAAAUGCUUCCUCCUCCUAUCGGUGGUUGAUAACAUUAGGGGAAGCCUUGUUAUCUGCCAGGUGUAACUCUGUAGCCCAUAUGAUCCUGUUCCAUGCGGUCAUUUCUGCUUUUCAAAGCACAGAGAGGUGAGCUGAGCUGACCAAGCCCAAAACUAGUGAACAGCCGCGGUGGACGAACCUGGCUCCCAGCCCUCGCUCCCAAACACUCAGCAUCCUGCUCUCCCAAGAUGAAGUUCCAUUGCCCUUGGAUCUGAAUGAGAUGCCACAACAUUCAGUCCAAAAAUCCUUCCCUUAAUUUGCACAUCCUCCCCGUGACUAUAAGCAUGUGGUGGUGGUGGUUUAUUCGCUCAGUUGUGUCCUACUCUUGUGACCCCAUGGACUAUAGUCCGCCAGGCUCCUCUGUCCAUGGGAUUUCCCAGGCAAGAAUAACAGAGUGGGUUGCUAUUUCCUUCUCCAAACUAUGGCCAUGCACAGAAUUUAACCACAGCAGCAUCAGGUUUUGAGAAAUAGGACUCAGGAAGACCUCAUAUCUGCAGUGUUCUCUCUAAAGGUUUGCAGCCGGAAGAAGAGAGCAGCCUGCAGAGUGGGAGUGGCAGUUGCACUGUAUCGCAGUUUGUGUUCCAGUUACAAACUGUCCCCAGUCCCACACUUGUGG
Molecule: long non-coding RNA, 1408 nt
Organism: Bos taurus (domestic cattle)
Lineage: Eukaryota; Metazoa; Chordata; Mammalia; Artiodactyla; Bovidae
Source: Ensembl